GUCCAGACUCCUACGGGAGGCAGCAGUGGGGAAUAUUGCACAAUGGGGGAAACCCUGAUGCAGCGACGCCGCGUGAGCGAUGAAGUAUUUCGGUAUGUAAAGCUCUAUCAGCAGGGAAGAAAAUGACGGUACCUGACUAAGAAGCCCCGGCUAACUACGUGCCAGCAGCCGCGGUAAUACGUAGGGGGCAAGCGUUAUCCGGAUUUACUGGGUGUAAAGGGAGCGUAGACGGCAAUGCAAGCCAGAUGUGAAAGCCCGGGGCUCAACCCCGGGACUGCAUUUGGAACUGUGUAGCUGGAGUGUCGGAGAGGCAGGCGGAAUUCCUAGUGUAGCGGUGAAAUGCGUAGAUAUUAGGAGGAACACCAGUGGCGAAGGCGGCCUGCUGGACGAUGACUGACGUUGAGGCUCGAAAGCGUGGGGAGCAAACAGGAUUAGAUACCCCUGUACA
RNAcentral lists this ribosomal RNA (448 nucleotides) under uncultured bacterium. RNAcentral describes it as "bacterial SSU rRNA". It matches the Rfam family "Bacterial small subunit ribosomal RNA", at positions 329 to 794 of the family's 1533-position model. The record is from RNAcentral.